RNAcentral lists this ribosomal RNA (376 nucleotides) under uncultured bacterium. Its description in RNAcentral is "bacterial SSU rRNA". It matches the Rfam family "Bacterial small subunit ribosomal RNA", at positions 524 to 898 of the family's 1533-position model. The record is from RNAcentral.
UACGUAGGGGGCGAGCGUUGUCCGGAAUUACUGGGCGUAAAGGGCGUGUAGGCGGUUGGAAAAGUCUGGCGUGAAAUUCUCCGGCUCAACUGGGGAACUGCACUGGAAACUUUCUGACUGGAGUUCGGGAGGGGUUACUGGAAUCCCCGGUGUAACGGUGAAAUGUGUAGAUAUCGGGGGGAACACCUGUGGCGAAGGCGGGUAACUGGACCGGGACUGACGCUGAGACGCGAAAGCGUGGGGAGCAAACAGGAUUAGAUACCCUGGUAGUCCACGCUGUAAACGAUGAGUGCUAGAUGUAGGGGGUAUCGACUCCCUCUGUGUCGCCGCUAACGCAAUAAGCACUCCGCCUGGGGAGUACGGUCGCAAGAUUAAA